AAGGAAUAUUGGUCAAUGGAGGGAACUCUGAACCAGCCAUCCCGCGUGAAGGAUGAAGGGGCUCUGCCUUGUAAACUUCUUUUGCAUGGGACGAAAAAACUUAAUUUAUUAAGGACUGACGGUACCAUGAGAAUAAGCACCGGCUAACUCCGUGCCAGCAGCCGCGGUAAUACGGAGGGUGCGAGCGUUAUCCGGAAUCACUGGGUUUAAAGGGUGCGUAGGCGGUUUGAUAAGUCAGUGGUGAAAGGCCGUCGCUUAACGAUGGGGCUGCCAUUGAUACUGUUAGACUUGAAUCAGGAUGAGGUUGGCGGAAUGUGGCAUGUAGCGGUGAAAUGCUUAGAUAUGCCAUGGAAUACCGAUUGCGAAGGCAGCUGACUGGACCUGAAUUGACGCUGAGGCACGAAAGCGUGGGGAGCGAAC
This 420-nucleotide ribosomal RNA is filed under the name uncultured bacterium. RNAcentral's name for it is "bacterial SSU rRNA". It matches the Rfam family "Bacterial small subunit ribosomal RNA", at positions 356 to 773 of the family's 1533-position model. The record is from RNAcentral.